UACGGAGGGUGCAAGCGUUAUCCGGAAUCAUUGGGUUUAAAGGGUCCGUAGGCGGGCAUAUAAGUCAGUGGUGAAAUGCUGUGGCUCAACCAUAGCACUGCCAUUGAUACUGUAUGUCUUGAAUUAUUGUGAAGUGGUUAGAAUAUGUAGUGUAGCGGUGAAAUGCUUAGAUAUUACAUAGAAUACCGAUUGCGAAGGCAGAUCACUAACAAUAUAUUGACGCUGAUGGACGAAAGCGUAGGUAGCGAACAGG
This 253-nucleotide ribosomal RNA is filed under the name uncultured bacterium. Its description in RNAcentral is "partial 16S ribosomal RNA". It matches the Rfam family "Bacterial small subunit ribosomal RNA", at positions 524 to 776 of the family's 1533-position model. The record is from RNAcentral.